AUUGAACGCUGGCGGCAGGCCUAACACAUGCAAGUCGAGCGAGCGGCGCACGGGUGCGUAACGCGUAUGCAAUCUACCUUGUACAGAGGGAUAGCCCAGAGAAAUUUGGCUUAAUACCUCCUUGUACAUUAUGUGCAUGCUUCCCAUUAGUUAGUUGGUGUGGUAACGGCACACCAAGACGAUGAUGGGGAGGGGUCCUGAGAGGGAGAUCCCCGACACUGGUACUGAGACACGGACCAGACUCCGACGGGAGGCAGCAGUGAGGAAUAUUGGGCAAUGGAGGCAACUCUGAACCAGCCAUGCGGCGUGCAGGAUAACGGUCUAUGGAUUGUAAACUGCUUUUAUACGGGAAGCGGUACCGAAAGAAUAAGGAUCGGCUAACUCCGUGCCAGCAGCCGCGGUAAUAG
This 407-nucleotide ribosomal RNA is filed under the name uncultured bacterium. Its description in RNAcentral is "partial 16S ribosomal RNA". It matches the Rfam family "Bacterial small subunit ribosomal RNA", at positions 30 to 526 of the family's 1533-position model. The record is from RNAcentral.